Xenopus laevis (African clawed frog) is the source of this 589-nucleotide long non-coding RNA. RefSeq lists it as uncharacterized. The record is from RefSeq and is a predicted model, not a curated record. The transcript is spliced from 2 exons. NCBI's taxonomy places the organism in Eukaryota, Metazoa, Chordata, Amphibia, Anura, Pipidae.
UUGUUUUUGGCAAAUUUUCACUUUUUAAAAAUAAAAAUUACUGGGCAAAAGUCCCUCAUAAUAUUUUGUUUAUACUUAUUAUUCUUCAAAUGGGAACAUGCAGCAUAUGUCUGGAAAAAAGGAGCAAUUACCAUAGCUUGGACUAUGUCACAGUGGAACUUUUGUCACCUGAUAUUUCAGUUCAGCAGUUCUUCAGAAGGAAGGGGCCAGACUACCAGACAAACUUCUGGGACCAAACUAGAAGCCCCUACAUCUAAUUUCGUUUAAAUAAAAGCAAGCAGCAUAUCAUUUUGUGUGACUUAAUAGUUUGUAUAAAUACUUACCUUCUAUACCACUGCACGGUUGCUGUCUUGCAAAUGAUCCACCCAUGUGGAUUCUCAAGGAGGAGUCAAGUCUAACAUUUACCACUCCCAUAGGAAGAAUCAAGAGACCAACAGGAACUAAAAGCUUUGCUACAUUGGCGUCGCCUUUCUGAUGAGCUGAAGGACACCCAGGAAGAACUGCAAAUAUUAAUGUCUGGCAUUUAUCAUUUUUUUCCUCCAUAAGUGGUUUUGACCGUAUAGGAAUAAAAUAAGCCAUACAAUCCCAA